Molecule: long non-coding RNA, 204 nt
Filed under: Elaeis guineensis (African oil palm)
Lineage: Eukaryota; Viridiplantae; Streptophyta; Magnoliopsida; Arecales; Arecaceae
Description: long non-coding RNA (EGUI_LNC035334)
Source: RNAcentral
CGAGAGGAAGCGAGCUGAGCCCUGCCAGCCAGCUGCCCUUGAAGACGGGCAACUUCGUCGGUCGCCACCUUGAGUCUCCCUUUGUAUUCAUCCACCUGCCUGCGCCAGCCUGCCCGAUGCGCGUCGUAGCCCACCUCGGUAUCCUGAAGCUGCUGCUGAAGGUCGGAGAGCUUCUUCGACCACUUCCGGUCGUCGUCGGCCCGA